This 254-nucleotide ribosomal RNA is filed under the name uncultured bacterium. Its description in RNAcentral is "partial 16S ribosomal RNA". It matches the Rfam family "Bacterial small subunit ribosomal RNA", at positions 524 to 776 of the family's 1533-position model. The record is from RNAcentral.
UACGGAGGGGGCAAGCGUUGUUCGGAAUUACUGGGCGUAAAGGGCGCGCAGGCGGCUGCUCAAGUCAGGCGUGAAAGGCCUGGGCUCAACCCGGGAAUUGCGCUUGAGACUGGGCUGGCUUGAGACCGGAAGAGGUAAGUGGAACUGCGAGUGUAGAGGUGAAAUUCGUAGAUAUUCGCAAGAACACCAGUGGCGAAGGCGGCUUACUGGUCCGGUUCUGACGCUGAGGCGCGAAAGCGUGGGGAGCAAACAGG